AUGUGGACAGUGAGAGAGAGAAAGGGCUUCCUUUGCCGUUGGUUCACCCUCCAAGGGCCGCCGCGGCCGGCGCGCUGUGACCGGCGCACCGCGCUGAUCCGAUGGCAGGAGCCAGGUACUUCUCCUGGUCUCCCAUGGGGUGCAGGGCCCAAGCACUUGGGCCAUCCUCCACUGCACUCCCGGGCCACAGCAGAGAGCUGGACUGCAAGAGGGGCAACCGGGACAGAAUCUGGCGCCCCGACCAGGACUAGAACCCGGUGUGCCGGCGCCGCAAGGUGGAGGAUUAGCCUAGUGAGCUGCGGCUCUGGCCCUGAGUAUUUUUACUUAUCAGUACAUCACAACAACUUUAGUAUGUUAGCACUCGAUACUGCUCAGAAUUUCUCCAUGUGUCGCAGGCACAGAGGCAGUAGAGCAGGGCAAUCCCUGGGCACCAACAGAGGCAACGAAGUUCUUCCCAGGCAGCAGCUGCUCCCCGGGACGGAGCAGCCACGGGGUCCUGUCCUUGGGGCAGCGAGGACGAGGGACAUCAACACCUCUUCUGGAAGGGCGAGGAUUCUGAAGCUGGGCAUCUCCGAUUACAUCUCCUGGGGAUGGACGAUCGUGGUGACCUGGGGGCAGCCAGAGAAGCCACGGGGUCCUGUCCUUGGGGCAGCGAGGACGAGGGACAUUCAACACCUCUUCUGGAAGGGCGAGGGUUCUGAAGCUGGGCGAAUUGGAAUCCAUCUUCCUGAGGAUGAUUGUGGUGACCUGAGGGCAGCUAGAGAGGCAAGUGGUCCUCUCCUUGUGGCACCGAGGAUAGGGGACAUUCAACCCCUUUUCUGGAAGGGCGAGGAUUCCGAAGCUGGGUGUCUCGGAGUCCAUCUCCCGGUGGACGAUCGUGGUGACCUGGGGGCAGCCAGAGAAGCCACGGGGUCCUGUCCUUGGGGCUGCGAGUACAAGGGACAUUUGAAACCUGUACAGGAAGGGCAAGGAAUCCAAAGCUGGGUGUCUCAGAGUCCAUCCAGCCCGGAUCUGCCACGGUCUCUUCCCCUCCUUAGACCCGAGUACAGAGCUGCACACAGCCAGCGCCCACGCUGCUGA
RNAcentral lists this long non-coding RNA (1080 nucleotides) under Oryctolagus cuniculus (rabbit). RNAcentral describes it as "lncRNA (ENSOCUG00000038095.1)". Lineage: Eukaryota; Metazoa; Chordata; Mammalia; Lagomorpha; Leporidae. The record is from RNAcentral.